GCGUGCAGCUGGCAGUGUUGUUUUGAAACCGCUAUCAGGAGGUUGCAGCUCGCGAAGCGAGACAGGUGUGUUUUGGUAAAGUGAUCGUGCGACAUGUGCAACUAAACCCAACAUUCUGUGCUUUUUUGUAAAUACAACACAAAAGGAAGUUUGUUUCUUCUAAAUAUCGCGAUAUAAGUAGCGAAUGAUGAAUCCGAUACAUCUUAGUCUCAUUUGACACUUUGCCGGUGGCCAGCUGAUGCUAAAUUUGUGAUUAACUCGCCACAUAAUUUAACCAUUUGUUAAACUAAUUGAGGAUUCCGUACAUAAAUAAGACUUUUCCCUCUUCCUGUUCCUUUGGUUUUUGUUCCUUUUGUUAUUUUCUGUUGUGAUGGCAUCGUCGAAGGUUGCUAGACGCCGUCAAGGCAGUCUUCCAAAAGAACCACCAGCUUCUGUUGAUAUCAGUGAUUCCGAUGGUGAAAAGGACAGCGGCCUAGAUGACUUCGAAAUCAUCAAAACGAUAGGUGGCAUUAUGGAAACGUGGUGUGGGUUUCUUAACACCAACGAGCUGCUGUGUCCUAGAGCCAGUUUAGGAGUUUGGCAUACACAAAACUCCCACAGCUGCUGGAAAUCGAAAUGCAGUGUCCACGUUCACAGCCACUUUACUGGCUAAGAAAAACUUUGCUGUACACCGUAUGUGUUUUAGCUGUACCCUACUUAAGUUGGCGUUGAAACGUUAAGAGCUCUGUCCUGUGAUCGCCCUUGAAUGUGACAGAAUAGCUGUACUACUCUGUGUUUAGAAACGAGUUAUUUAAGGUCUCGAACACACCGUAGCAACCCCGCCCAGUCUGGAGAAGUCUGCGGGCAACACAAAAAGUUAAAAAAAACACCAGUUGCAGUAAUGGGCCUAUUUCUGCUCAGAUGAGUGAAAAUAAGUAAUGGUAUCUUACGCAGUUUUAGUAAAUUAGCAGUUACUUCUGAUAAAAGGACGUGUUAAUAAAUAAUAAUAGUAUGUGUGUGCAAUUUCGAAUGGUUUCUAAGUAGGAUAGUGACAUCACUUUGACCGUCUUAAACGUAUAUAGUCUGCUCAUAUCCCACCAAUCGUAAACUUUUACUUUAAUCUUAUACCACUUAGGAUAUCGUGAGAAGAAAACCAAAGACAAAAGUAUUGCUUCGCACAUAUCAGGACAUUUUCAUAAUGGUUGUUCAUUUGUAAACGUAAUUCACCCGUUAAUACAAAUUCUUAUGUAAUCUGUAUUAUAAUGAUUUGUACCUAUCAAUCAUUUCUUAUUUUUACCUCACAUAUUACCAGCUUGAAGGCCGGUUCUUGUAGAUCUGUCUUUAUGUAUCAUCGUACGUCAAACUAAACUUAUACAUGAUGAUAAGGCACUAGCUACAGUGUACUAUUCGCUUUGUUCUCCUCAUGCUAAUCUACAACGGAUCAUUUUGAGCUGUCUCUUUGUUAGUUAUUGCUCUGAGCGUGACGCAGUGCAGUUAUUCCGUCCAGAGAGGUAGACAAUCGUGCGUUAAGAGGCAUUUGUAAUGUAGAAUGUCAACUUGCCAUGUGCUCUGAGGUGGACAUUAAGCAAGCCGGAGUUCUGCAUAGAAUGGCAGCUUUAUGUCUGUCUACAAUCAGAGGAAGGGUUUGGAAUUACGUGAAUCUGUGUUUUGUCUGUGCUUCGGACCCUGCGUUUUGACAAUAGCAGUUCCCGUCAUUUAGUCCCGCUCUAUGAACAUAAGAAAUUUAAGUUUAACGCGAUGUUAAGGAAUCUCUUCUUCAGAUACCAUGGAGAUUAAAGGAAUUAAGGUCGGAGUCUACAAAUUAGCACUUAUCUGACCGACGUGCAGAGCCCUUCAUAGCGACACGCACUUCAGCCAGGCAACAGUACUUGAACAUCAACAGACAAGACACAUCACGACACGACACGACACGACACGACACGACACGACGAAGAGGGGUCGAGACUCAGUACACUUGUAAGUCCAAAACUCAGCUUCUCACCAUCUUGCAUCGUUGUAGUAACGCCACGCUCUGUGAAUUUCAACUUAUGGUGACUCUACACUUAAUCAAAUAUCCUCGAUCUACAUUUUCUCGUAGGAUCAGCUAUGAAUUUUCAUACCCAGGAAACAUAACUAUCUUUAGGGUUUUACAGCGAUGGCCAUAUGUUGCAACUGGAUGGUCUAUGCGGCAUAAUAAACAAUUUGUCAGAGUGAAGAUAUGUAUUGAUGACACUGUCAUGUUCCUUUGUAAUAAAAAUGUUUAUAUACUAAACCUCUA
Molecule: non-coding RNA, 2257 nt
Organism: Zootermopsis nevadensis
Lineage: Eukaryota; Metazoa; Arthropoda; Insecta; Blattodea; Termopsidae
Source: RefSeq, a predicted model, not a curated record